UACAGAGGGUGCAAGCGUUAAUCGGAAUUACUGGGCGUAAAGCGCGCGUAGGUGGUUCGUUAAGUUGGAUGUGAAAUCCCCGGGCUCAACCUGGGAACUGCAUUCAAAACUGCUGUGCUUGAGUGUGGGAGAGGCGCGUGGAAUUGCAGGUGUAGCGGUGAAAUGCGUAGAUAUCUGCAGGAACACCCGUGGCGAAAGCGGCGCGCUGGACCACUACUGACGCUGAGGAACGAAAGCUAGGGGAGCAAACAGG
Molecule: ribosomal RNA, 253 nt
Filed under: uncultured bacterium
Lineage: Bacteria
Description: partial 16S ribosomal RNA
Rfam family: Bacterial small subunit ribosomal RNA
Source: RNAcentral